AGCAGCCGCGGUAAUUCCAGCUCCAAUAGCGUAUAUUAAAGUUGUUGCAGUUAAAAAGCUCGUAGUUGAAUUUCGGGAUCAGUAUGUUGGUCGUGCUUCGGUACGUACUGUCAUUACUGGUUUCUACCUUCUGAAGAACCUUGAUGUCAUUAAUUUGGUGUCUUGGGGAAUCAGGACUGUUACUUUGAAAAAUUAGAGUGUUUAAAGCAAGCAUACGCUUGAAUACAUUAGCAUGGAAUAAUGAAAUAGGACGUUUGAUUCUAUUUUGUUGGUUUCUAGGAUCGACGUAAUGAUUAAUAGGGAUAGUUGGGGGCAUUAGUAUUCAAUUGUCAGAGGUGAAAUUCUUGGAUUUAUUGAAGACUAACUACUGCGAAAGCAUUUGCCAAGGAUGUUUUCAUUAAUCAAGAACGAAAGUUAGGGGAUCGAAGACGAUCAGAUACCGUCGUAGUC
RNAcentral lists this ribosomal RNA (450 nucleotides) under uncultured Glomus. RNAcentral describes it as "SSU rRNA". It matches the Rfam family "Eukaryotic small subunit ribosomal RNA", at positions 569 to 1025 of the family's 1831-position model. RNAcentral also lists the same sequence under 1 other name. Lineage: Eukaryota; Fungi; Glomeromycota; Glomeromycetes; Glomerales; Glomeraceae. The record is from RNAcentral.